This 372-nucleotide ribosomal RNA is filed under the name Triticum aestivum (bread wheat). Its description in RNAcentral is "partial small subunit ribosomal RNA". Lineage: Eukaryota; Viridiplantae; Streptophyta; Magnoliopsida; Poales; Poaceae. The record is from RNAcentral.
AUGGUGUGGUAUGUGUUGAACAAUUGUGAUCAAGCUAAGAAAUAUAUCGAUAUGUUCAGAGAUGAGUUAAAGAGGAAAUGGUUUCCGGACAGUGAUAAAGAGCUUCAACAAAAAUUUCAGACAUGGUUCAGGAACUAUAUGAUGAGGCUGCGAGAUGAGGAUGGUGAAGAGGUAGAUGAAGAUCUCUUUGCCUUGGCAUGUGGUCCUGAUCGGAGAGUCCGGAAAUUCUCAUCGUGCAUAGUGAAUGGGAUUAGAUUUAGCACCGUUGCUUGUGAUAGCAACAAGAGGACGCAGAACAGUGGAGUCAUGACCGAAGGAGAACAUAACCAUAAGGUCAUAGAUUUUUAUGGAACCUUGAAAGAGAUCAUUUAG